Molecule: long non-coding RNA, 675 nt
Filed under: Homo sapiens (human)
Lineage: Eukaryota; Metazoa; Chordata; Mammalia; Primates; Hominidae
Description: HSALNT0253845
Source: RNAcentral
CAGAGACGCCGCGCUCCGCCCCGAGGAGGCCGCCGGCCGGGUAAGCGGAGCCCGGAGCUCGCGGAGUCUGGACCGCAGAUGAACAUCUAAGACUCGUUUAGACAAACUGAUGUAGAGAAAAAUAAGAAACAUCAAAACAUACCGUGCCCUGACCUGGGCUUUAAUCCUCAUGAGGCCACACUGUUCAGAAUCGGCUGAGGGACUCUGUGGCAUUUCGGGGUGUCCUUGCUGACAGGGUAUUUGGUGGCCCCCAAGUUCCCUCCUCAGAGGUGGCAGCCGUGGGGGACCCUGCAGCAGCUGUAGUGGUGUGGGACUUGGUAGCGGGGUCCUGACGGCGGAGGACCCAGCACGUCUGUUCUCAGCGGAGCGGCUGCCCAUCUCCCCCUCCCCUCCCCUCCCCUCCCCCUUCUCUGCCCUCUGGGGGCUCCGCUCUGGGUGGGGGUGGCACCCCAGCCCUGCACGGGCGCUCUUUUCCCUUUCCUGUAUGCCUUGAUGAUUGUUAAUAAAACUUCUUCAAAGUUGGUUUUCCAAAUGUGGACGGUGUGGGAAUGAGACAUUUGAGUUAUUCCAGCUCCCUGUUUUUCUUCCAGAAAUGGAUAAUGGGCCCAUUUCACAUUGAAUUAAAAGGCUAUUAGGGCGUGCAAAUGGUGUGAGCAACGUGUCAUUUGCUGUUUC